CCCUGUACUCAAAUUCUCUUUGUAAGUCACUUCCACACAGUUUUGGAGAAGAUACUUGGAAUAUCGUUUCAUUUUUGGUGUACUAACAGACUAUGGGAAAAGAUCUUGAAGAAAAUGGUCUCGUGUUUUGGAAAGCAAUAUGAUCCUACUUUUAUUUCUUUGCUCGGAAAGAAUUUUGGAAUAAUUUUUACAAAUCAGUUAUUUUCCAAUGCAAUUCGUUUCCUGGUUUGUGAAAUAACUGUAAAGCACUUUCCAAUUUGUAGAGAAGUUUUCUUGGAUUAAAGGUGUUGUGGUUUGAAAAACAAAAAAAAGUCCCCCCUGGAGCUGGAAGGUGGCUAAGUCCAGGGAUGAUGUUUUUGGUGUUGAGCCAAUCAGGGCUCAGUUUGCCCCUGUGGAAAUGACAUAUUCACACAAGCCAGAAAAGAAGGCUUGUUGGCAUAGCUGGAAUUGGAGAGAUGCCAUGAAAUAGACACAGAGAUUGGGGGCUCUUCUCCCCCGGUCCUGGGUGGGGGGCCAGGAACGGCACAGCAGCCGAGUUGAGCCCCCCCGAGACUGGUGGUCAAGGGGAACCCCAAAAAAUUGGGGAGGCCCCUGGACUGUGGCAUUUUAUUUCCCCUUUGCAGUGUGUGGGGGGGGAAAUGGUGAUGGAGGUAGCACGGAACAGAGAGUCGAGAUUGGCUUCUGGCCAAAAGGACUGUGAAGCAAAGAUCAGAGAAUUCCGGAGAGCAGCAAACAUGGCACGAAGUCAGACCCUGAGUUUGCAGCAGCAGAAACAGAGUAUCCAGCUGAGAGCUGAGACUUAGAGAAGCCUGCAUCUGAGAGCUGACCGAGCAGAGACAUGAGAAGAUAAUUGGAAAUGUUCUGGGGUGAGAACUGAGCCAAAAAACCCUCCGAACUUUUGACCCUGGGGAAGGAGGGGUGGACAUCCCUAGAGAAGUCUCCUGAGAUCUUGAUCCCCAGAGACAGGGACCUCCACGGAGCGCAGAAUAAAGACUUUAAGCUUUAACUCCCUGUACUCCGUGGAUGAAGAUCAUGUGUGAGGCAAGGUGUCCCCUUGCAGCCAAUGGGUGAGACCCUCGACUGGAACCAAGGGGCUGAGUGGGGGUGAGAGAGAGACCCCCUGCAUUCUGAUGAAGAGAAAGAGAGAUUUUCCAUCUACGACAAAUCAGAACUGCUGCCUUAAGGAUAAGAGAUUGUGCUGCCCUGAAAGUGAAAAGACUUCUUCUUCUUCUUUCCUUCUGGACUUUGUGGGGUGAAAGGAGGGGUGGUCUAUGUAAAUAUAUUGUUUUAUCAUAGGAGAGUUAGUUAAGAUUGUUGUAGAUAUUGUUUCAUAGUUUUUUAUUCUGUCAGCAAUAAACUUUGAUAUAGUUUCCA
This is a long non-coding RNA of Pseudopipra pipra, 1374 nucleotides long. RefSeq lists it as uncharacterized. The transcript has 2 exons. NCBI's taxonomy places the organism in Eukaryota, Metazoa, Chordata, Aves, Passeriformes, Pipridae. The record is from RefSeq and is a predicted model, not a curated record.